CACAUCCACCGUCCAUUAUUUCCAUCACCACUUAAUCUUGGCCGUUCAUCUCGAUCCCCUUCCCCUAUAAAUACCCUUCAGCCGUUCUCACGAUUCACCUUACUUUGCUGGUCCCUGAACGCAAGGGAGGUGACGAUCAGGUUUCGGUUUUUGUAGAUUAUCGGAUUUGUUGUUUCGCUUCUUCUGUUUGGGUUUGAUUCUAUGCUUUCGAUAUCGAUGGAUUAAGUUUUGUUAUCGCUAUGCAUUAGGGUUUGGUGAUGGAUUUUGCUAACCGAUUAAAAGUUGGAUCUAAUGACCUUUGAAGGUUGUGACGAUAUAAAGAACCAGAGAUUGUGUAUAUUUGCAGGCUUGUUUUAUUGGUUCAGAUGAGACCCAAACGACAUCGUGGAUCAUGGUGAAGUAGGUGUUUGGUAUGAAACUGCUAUGAAUUCGAUUGGGAUCUUCUCGUUGUUUUGUAUAGAUAUAAUUUGUUGAUUUGAGGCUGAAGCUCAUCUUUAUUGAUAUGCUUAUGAGUUUUAAUUGGGAUGAUGAAUGCCAGGGCAUCGUGGAUUCAGUACCUAGUUCGGCUUGCGUUUUGAUUUGGACGAAAACCUCAUCGAUUUACCUUCUAUGGGAGUCCUUUCGCUUACCUCCUUUGAUUUUGUUCUGAAGUUUAGAAUAUAAUGAUUUGGAAAUUUCCCUCGUUUUUUAUCAAUCAAAUAAGCGGAGCUUUGUUGUUAUUUUUCAGGCCUCGUUUGCGGUGUUUGACACACGAGGGUUAGAUGUUAUCAUGUUAUGGUUAGCUGAUAACUCCAUAGGUUCUUAUGGGAUCUGAUUGUAUGGCUAUGAGGUUGGAUUUUAUACUGAUUUGCGGAUGCAAUGGAAUGUUGAAUGUCAAAAUUUUCCUUCUGGAUCUAUUGAUUUGCAAGAGAUAGUAAUCGUGUUGCAGAUUUGAGCUUAUGUCUGCACCUUUUCAGUCUUUGGAUAGAGUCCAUUUGUAAAGGUUUUCAUUGGUUUGCUGCAUAUGGAUUAUUGUUUUUGGUUACAUGCUUAUUCUUUUACAGUUUGUCAAAAUGCGCGUCUUUAUAUAUCUUUCAAGUCCCUGAAAUUUGUAAGUAAUACCAUGUUUAUGUCCUCCUUUUCCCUAUGAUCAUGCCGAACUUUCUGCUCUUAUAUUGACAUACUAAAUCCAGAAUUCGUGUUAACCGUCUUAGUUCGUAGCCUUUCAUUUCGAUGUGUUUCUUGUUUUUGGGGUAUGUUCGAAACGGGUUUUUAUGUCCUCAAUUUUGGCUUUCUAUUGAUUUUCUCUGUUGGAAUGAAAGGGUCUAUUUUAAUUUCUUCUUGUCUGAAAUAUAUAGUAAUUGUUUUUUCAAAGAUAUAAAAUUAUUCAAUGUAUUUGAUCAAUAAAUUUUGCUUUAUGGUCUUUAAGCUAUUAAUAAUUACAACCAAAAGUGGUUUGGCGCUUACCUUUUAGCGUUAUGUUUUUUAAAAGUUUGUUCAUUUCUAUGGUUGUCAUUGCAUAUAGUUGGACUUCGCAUUUGUAUAGCAGUGUGGUUAGGUUUUGUCUUGAUGAUUCACUACUUUUGUGAUUAAAGUGCUUAUGGAGACUAAGUUGGAUGGAGCCAAAAGUUUAUGACACUUAUGGGGAG
Molecule: long non-coding RNA, 1628 nt
Filed under: Prunus dulcis (almond)
Lineage: Eukaryota; Viridiplantae; Streptophyta; Magnoliopsida; Rosales; Rosaceae
Description: sRNA ncRNA
Source: RNAcentral